RNAcentral lists this unclassified non-coding RNA (465 nucleotides) under Hevea brasiliensis (rubber tree). Lineage: Eukaryota; Viridiplantae; Streptophyta; Magnoliopsida; Malpighiales; Euphorbiaceae. The record is from RNAcentral.
AUCCAUUUAAAUCUGUAGCAGCACCACCAAUAGAUCCUAUCUUCCGCCCAUCAUUGAAACCAUCAUUGAAACCAGACUCUUUUGACUUGGAAUUAAUAACAGAAUUCACAUCACCUCCAACUCUUACAUCAAAAUUCCUCCUCUCAUCUGGCCUCUUUGACACAUAACAAUUGCUCCAUAUUGAUUCCUUCAGUGACAGAUUUGCUAAGCUUGAAGUAUGUCGCCUCAGCUGAUCACUGAAUUGCCAAAACGAUUGCUGGUUAUUCUCCAUCUUCAACUCCAAUUCCCUUCGACAACCGAUCAAAAAACAAUAAAACACGAAAUGGGUACCCGAGAUACAGCAGAGAUAAGAUAGAUUUUAUCUAAGAUCAAGAAAACAGGGAGCAAAAACAGAGGAAAAGUAAAGGGUCUGUAAAUGAUGAGAGAAAUGAAAGUGGGUGAGAAAGAAUAGUUAAAUAAGAGAAC